This is a long non-coding RNA of Vigna radiata var. radiata (mung bean), 1802 nucleotides long. RefSeq lists it as uncharacterized. The record is from RefSeq and is a predicted model, not a curated record. The transcript is spliced from 7 exons. Lineage: Eukaryota; Viridiplantae; Streptophyta; Magnoliopsida; Fabales; Fabaceae.
CAUAUUUCUUCUUACAUACAAAUAUUACAUACGGAUUCUAAAAUAAAUAAUUAAAAAAAAUUAAAAAAACUAAACUUAAGACAAAACCUAAGAGUCAGACACUAAAUUUCUCCUAGAGCUCUUUUCUUCCCUUUCAUUGAACCCUUGUUCUUCCUUCUCAUCGAGUUAUUGUUCUCCAACCUUUCUUCUCUAGCCUUCCCGUCAUCAAGGCUUUCUUUUCAUCGAACCAUUUUCUUCAAGUCUUUCCUCUCCCUGUCUGGAACCAUCAUCUUCAUUCUCUGAACCAUCAUCUUCGUGUCUUGAACCCUAGGAGUCCCUGCCUCCAAUCAUGGCCCCCUGUCCCUGUGUGGUACCCUUGUUCAACGUCAACGAACCCUCGAUUUCUCACAGUGGAGCCCUAGGACUCUUAUUCUUGUACUCUGAGGUCAAUGCCACCUUCUUUCGGUCUCGGUGAGUUUGUGAUUUGGUCAGAAGAAGAAGUUUGGUUAUCUAACCUCCACCGUACACCUCUCUCUUGUUGGCUUUCCCUUGAAACCCUACCCUAAAAUUGAAAAAUCGGAAAACCCUAACUUGUUUGAAUGAGGGAUUGAAUGAGAAAUGGCGUCGAAGUUGAAAACGUGUUUUGUAUGGUGGAACCUGAGUGGCUUCAACUAUGUUAACCACUCUAAGGGAAAUGGUAGGAUAGUGCAAGUUUCAUUUCAAGGUUCUUGCUAAAUGCGACACCGAACCACUUUCAGCAGUUUGCAGAAUAAGAGGCAACGGAUCAAGCCUUCCAUUGAGGAAGUUCUCUGUCAAAAUCAAGAUGAGAAAGAAGAUUUAGAGGUUUCAUUCAAUAACUAAGAAACUCCAAGAACUUGUUAUCCAAACGAAAGAAUUGAAGCUUGAUUGAGGGAAUUUGAAUAGGUUUGCUAAGAAGGGAGCCUUAAUGUAUUUGAAUAUCAAUCACGAUAAACAUAUAUGGCCUACAAAGAACAGAGUGAACAUGAUGUUAUUUCUGCAUUUCUUGGUCUUUUAUCUUCUGCAACAAGAGAUGGCACCAGUACCUAAGGUUGGUGGGAUGUUGUCAGUGGUCUAGGUAAAGCACUGCAAAAGAAAGGACACCUUGUUGAAAUUGUGCUUCUCAAAUAUGAUUGUAUGCAAUAUGAUCAUGUAUGCAACUUACGGGUAUGCCAUUUCAUUAAGAAAAUAAUUGAACGUGCCGACACUAUCAUGGCUCCUCUGUAUUGGGAGAUAUUUGUACAUAAAGGAUUAAAUUCAGCUAGGAUAUGCUUACAUGCCACAACUUUGAGUAUUAGGGGACUGCAACAGCUUCAGAGUUAGACUAAUGGGUCUUGUUAGCGAGAAUCUAAAAAAAUCAGAUAAAAUCUGGGACAACUCAGCACAUGAUAGAGUUAAUUCUAAGCAAGAAAGGCAGGGACAUUGCUAUUGUCAUACUUGAUAUUCACGGAGUGGACUUUUACUCAUUGCUAUGGGAGUCACAUUGAAGAUGUUGCCAGAUAGCAAAUUCAGCAACAACAAUAGGGGGAACUCAGAGAAAAAUCCACUAGAGAUGAAGAGUUGGGGAAUCUGCCAAAUUCUGCAGGGGGAAAAUGAUGAAAGGAGGCCUUUGGUAUAGCUUAUUGUCUUCUAAAUGAAAGUAUUUUUUUUAAGUUAUUAUUUUUAAAUUCACAAUUUCUUUGUUAUUUUCAUGUCAUGUGAAAGGAAAAAUAAAAUAAUUUUAUGUAUACAGGAUAAUUUCUUUGUUAUUGUAAGUUUGUUAGUCUUUUGAUACAUGAUAAGAUAUAUACAUGAUAUUGCCACCA